This is a long non-coding RNA of Beta vulgaris subsp. vulgaris (sugar beet), 1208 nucleotides long. RefSeq lists it as uncharacterized. The transcript has 2 exons. The record is from RefSeq and is a predicted model, not a curated record. Lineage: Eukaryota; Viridiplantae; Streptophyta; Magnoliopsida; Caryophyllales; Amaranthaceae.
CUUGGUGGUGGUUGAUCCACAAGAUUACUCUGCUUUGAUAGAUUAUCUCAAGGGAGAUCAGGAUGACCAACAGUUCCGUAGGAAGCUUGCCUGGAAGGCUUUUCAGCUCGUGGCUGCUUAUGAUUCCGCAGUUUCAGAGUGGCUGUGGAAGGAGACUGAAGGAGGUAUGUCUAUGUAUGUAUUAUGAGCUACGUAUAACACUUCCUGUAGAUGGUAGGACUGGCAACUAGCCUUGUCUUUUUUUUUGGGUCAGGAACCCAGGAGAAUGUCCUGGUGUCCUUUGUAAUCGAGUUUUACCUUUUUUUGAUGCUUAGUGAGGUUUACAUGGAGUCUGCAUGAUAACGUUUGGACUCGACCCGACCCAGCCGAGUCGAGCUCUGCCCGCACAGUUAGGAAGAUUAUCUGCAUUUUGAGCUGUUUAACAGAAUUAGGAAUCGCUAGUUUUCCGCGAAGACUUAAUUUGCAAAUCCUUAAAUUUACUUCCUAUGUCUGUAAGUUUAGGGCAAUCAAAUGCAUUUCCCAUAUUUUCAUGAGGAACCAGCUCUCUGCAAUUCCAGGGCUGGGCUUUUACAGGCCUCUUUGCGAUUGUGGGGUUAGUGCUGCUUGCUUGGUCCCCCUACUCUGCCUAGGCUGGAGGUUCAUUAGAGGCACUUAGGUAUGGACAUUCAUGUGGUAUUAUUUACACAAGAGUUUCAGUUAACAUGCUGUUUGCACACUUUUGUUUUGGAAUUUUUUUCUGCACUACUCCCUGUUGUAGGUCACGUCUUUGAUCUACUUCAUAUUUUCUGAUAAUUCCGUUGAACCAUUCUACGGUUAAGAAGUAGCAUAGUUUUAAUAGUAAAAUUAUCUUUUGUGCUUUAAAAUUGCUUACUAUAAACUGCCUAUUAGAGAAUUUGUUAAUGCUAUCUUUUGUUAAACUUGCUAUUACUAACUGAUAAUGACUAUUGUGUUUUGCUAUGAGCUAACUGUGAACUACUAAAGCCAAACAAGGCCUGAAUUUUUUAAUGUCUUUGUUGCAGCAUUUUUUAAUGUUUCCAUCUCAUGUCUCUUCACCUUCUUCAACCAUGACUUUCCCCCUUUCUGUAAGUGUAUCUGCAUUCUCAGACACCAAGAACCGCUUGUAUCUGUACAAAAUUCUCAUUGGAGUGUCUCUGAUUUGCUUCACUUACUUCAUUGGAAGUGCUUUAAUUGCCAAGGAUUACAGAGAA